UACGUAGGGCGCAAGCGUUUGUCCGGAAUUAUUGGGCGUAAAGAGCUCGUAGGCGGUUUGUCGCGUCUGCUGUGAAAGUCCGAGGCUCAACCUCGGAUCCGCAGUGGGUACGGGCAGACUAGAGUGUGGUAGGGGAGACUGGAAUUCCUGGUGUAGCGGUGGAAUGCGCAGAUAUCAGGAGGAACACCAGUGGCGAAGGCGGCUCACUGGCCCGGUACUGGACGC
RNAcentral lists this ribosomal RNA (225 nucleotides) under uncultured bacterium. RNAcentral's name for it is "partial 16S ribosomal RNA". It matches the Rfam family "Bacterial small subunit ribosomal RNA", at positions 524 to 746 of the family's 1533-position model. The record is from RNAcentral.